This 497-nucleotide ribosomal RNA is filed under the name uncultured bacterium. RNAcentral describes it as "partial 16S ribosomal RNA". It matches the Rfam family "Bacterial small subunit ribosomal RNA", at positions 28 to 507 of the family's 1533-position model. The record is from RNAcentral.
GAUGAACGCUGGCGGCGUGCCUAAUACACGCAAGUCGAGCGAACAGACGAGGAGCUUGCUCCUCUGACGUUAGCGGCGGACGGGUGAGUAACACGUGGAUAACCUACCUAUAAGACUGGGAUAACUUCGGGAAACCGGAGCUAAUACCGGAUAAUAUAUUGAACCGCAUGGUUCAAUAGUGAAAGACGGUUUUGCUGUCACUUAUAGAUGGAUCCGCGCCGCAUUAGCUAGUUGGUAAGGUAACGGCUUACCAAGGCAACGAUGCGUAGCCGACCUGAGAGGGUGAUCGGCCACACUGGAACUGAGACACGGUCCAGACUCCUACGGGAGGCAGCAGUAGGGAAUCUUCCGCAAUGGGCGAAAGCCUGACGGAGCAACGCCGCGUGAGUGAUGAAGGUCUUCGGAUCGUAAAACUCUGUUAUUAGGGAAGAACAAAUGUGUAAGUAACUAUGCACGUCUUGACGGUACCUAAUCAGAAAGCCGCGGCUAACUACGUG